This 5152-nucleotide long non-coding RNA is filed under the name Triticum aestivum (bread wheat). RNAcentral describes it as "long non-coding RNA (TAES_LNC007944)". The record is from RNAcentral. Lineage: Eukaryota; Viridiplantae; Streptophyta; Magnoliopsida; Poales; Poaceae.
UCAUAAUUUGGAAUUUUUAGAGAUAGUGCCACAUCACAAUAUAUAAGAUGCUCCAUGGUCCUUAUAAUUUUUUCUUGUUUAGCUUCGGUAUGCCGCUUUGCUCUGAAGGGAAGUGGGGGGGGGUCUAUAUGGUCUGUGGUGGUAAAUUGAUAGAAAGAGAAGCAAGAAGCCCAUGUUCCCCCAGAUCGAGUAUAUCCUGGUCCUGAAAGGUGUAUCCAAGCUUCCUCAUGUCAUGUUUAAGUAUGAAUCACUUGUUUAUUGCGACAUGGACCACUGAUAUCUGAAAUAUAUGAAAAAGAACAUCAGGGCCCAAGAAAACAUAUGCCCUCGUAAAAGUAAAAGAAUGUACCAGUAAAAGAAAUGCUCCAGUAGAAGUGCUCUGUUAUUUUUAGUGUCAGUACCUCCAACUAAUAGAAUUACAAUAGACGGUAACCCAAAAAUAUGUCCAUCUCCUGAACUUCUUUGUUGAACUGUGGGACUAACACAAUGUACACUCUCAAGGAAACGAAAACUUCCCAAACUGAAGAGACUAGACCAAAAAAACCGUAAAGACCGAACGCCCGGGCUUAUCCUCGCGUUCUAUAUAGUAUUUAUGUUUAAUAACCAAUUCAACAUCAUCCAAGUAAAUUGCUAGCAUCCAGGUAAGAAAGUGCUCUGAAGCAAUGAAAAAACUAACCAAUUCAGCAUCAUCAAUGAAAGAAUCUUCAGUGGCAUACUGAUUAUCAUCAGGCACAUCACCCAGAUCUUCUUCGUGACUACUAUGCCUGCCCUAUCAAAGUGCAGUAUGAGGACAUGGGGCAAAGACGUUAUGCACAUGGUGUAUAAUGUUAAAAGUGCAUCUUGAGAUAACAACAUGUGCAUUACCAUGUAAAGGCGCUCGAUUAUCUCAAUAACCACAUUGAACCGAUUUGACUGUGAUGGAUCAUUUGGGUCAUUUUCUGUUGGAUGUACCUGACUCCAAAAACAUGAGACAACAUCAAUAUCAAAUAUAACAAUAAUCCAACUGUUCUGCAACAACAAAAAACUAAUUAAUCUAUCUAUCACAUGUGAAAACAAACACAAGAUAGACUGAUUAAUCCAAAGAACGGGUAAGUGCAGCAGCUGGCAAUGUGAACAUCAAGGAUGAUAGAUAAUACAUUAAUAUUUUCCAUAUAUUGUGAACUACCAACAGGGAAUUUUAAUUAGAAAACGGCUUGUGUCUUGUAUAGUGCAAAGUAUGUAAUUUCAUUUUACAGUAGCCACCUCAUCAGUUACCCUGAACAGUUUUCUUGAAUUUUCCUUAGCUUUUUGCUGCACUUUUGUUGGAAGCGUGUAUAUGUUUUGAGGCCCUGGAGAAGAAGCUAAGCAGACAUAAUCCUAUCUCAUUGCAAAGGGUUCCACUGUCCACGACAACACCUGAUGUAUGCCUUAUUAUCUCUAUUUUACAUCUCUUAACUUUUGUUGUCUGUACUAAAUUUCUCUGUUGCAAACUACUUUUACGCUCGCUCUACAUAGACUAACAUUACUCCUCACGUGGCUACAACAGGAUUGAUCAGCCCACAAAUGCACUAACAGUUGUAUCUAGCUAGUCCCCAACAUAUUAUGCACAUAAUAGAAUCCCAAUUUCUCCAUCCCUCCCACUUGAAAUCCCUUGGUUUGCAUGCUUGAUCGGCGCCCAUAGUGGUCAAGCUAAAUUUUGAAUGAUAAAUUCAAGUGGACCAUUCCCAUAGUUCUAACAUACAAACCUACUUGAUCAAUCACCCCAGCUUCAAGAGCAAUGUAUCUUAACCAGCCUAUCAUAUGAGAAUCCAGAGGGCUGAUGUUUGGAACAAUGGUUCUUCUGAAGGUAUCCCAAAAUAAUGAGACAAGGAUGUAAAUCACAAUCAUAAGAGUUACCUCCUAUAACUCGGUGGAGGAUUGAAUGAUGAAAAAACUAUGCUGGCCACACACUUGAUUUCUGCUAGUGCAGAUGCCAGCAAAUUAGUAAGAGCUACAGUAGUAUCCUCCAUGAAAUUCAAACCAUCAAGCUCCUGGUGAGCAGUUUUUCCUGCAUCUACAGGGGAAAGCAAAUAAGAUCUACAUCAACCAUGGGUUGAAUUAAGACUUGCGCACAAAUCUAGUACUACUACUUGGUAAGACCUACCGCAACACCAGAGGGCCCCGCGAGGGGGGCGACGAUGGGCUGUAUCGCCGGGGCGUGCAAAGAGGGCGGUUCCCGGGUCUGCCUCCUUGACCAGCUUCUUCCAGGACACAAUGAUCGUCUCCCCGGGCCAAUUUGUUUAGUACUGAACUAAAAAUGGCUUGGCCGUCCAAUUUAUAAAAAAAAUCAGAAAUGAGAAUACAUAAAUCUUUAGACAAUGCUAAUAAUGUAACUUGUCACAGACACAAAAUUUGCUACUAUUUUUCAGUGUUGAAUUAUACUAAAUACAAUAUAAGGCAUUCAGAAAAAUCCUCACCUUAAAUAAGGCAUUACAACAAACUUGUUGGGAAAACCUGCACACAACUACCAGAUAAUUAAAAAUAAGGCAUUAAUUCGUCUUAGCACAAGGAAUUACGUCCUAGGAAAAAGAACAAAAUUACUGACUAAUGUCACAUUGCUUGAUUGGAGUAUUACCUGGAAAUGAAAACAAGCUAGGCAGAUCAUUGAUGCACUAUAUGAAUUACAAACAAGCACUGCAAAAAUAUACAUCCAGUAUAGAACAGAGGUCACUUAAUAUAUAUGCAAAAUAAAAACAUUGCCAUACACAAAAAUAAAUCCAAACAAUGAUAGAAUAAAUCAAGAGGUUCAUCCUGUUGUUCCCAUCAACACAACAAAAAUAUGCAUUUAGUAUAGAACGGAUGCCAAAAUAAAGAGUUGGGACAUACAUUUCCAUUGAAGUUCUUCGUUUCAGUUCAGGACAGUACCAUUCAAUCCAUACGCCCAUCCCUACAAAACUGUAUCAAUAAGACAAAUUCAACCAAAAUAUUUCAAUGGCUAAUCGAGUGUUCGAUAACUGUAGACUGCGGAUACAAAUGAAAUGCGGAAAUGAUGAACAUCUUCUUAGUGCGGAAAUCCAAAUCUAAGCUGAAAUAUGGCAUUUCUUAUGUUUAAAGUGACAAUAACAUGAGAGAUAGUCCGCUGCCGCCGCAAGCAGAGUAGGUGCGUCGCACCUACUGGUAGCAAAACGGUGCGGCUGCGUGUGUUCUCCAUGAGUAAAACUUCCAUGCAUACAUAGCAUCAUGUAGGUGUACUUACAUAACUCGUAUAGUUGUUGCACAUCACUACAAAGCCAAGCAAGACACAAGAAUAUGUGACAAAAUGAGCAUUCUGACCUUGUCAAGAACAUUUGGAUUUGCACCAGCUUCCAACAAGCACUUGAUAGCUUCAGUUAAGCCCUUCUGCAGCCGUUACCAACGGAUUAUAACAAGGACCAGCACCACUCACAUUAGCUCCACCCUAUGAGAUGCAAGUAUGAAAAGCCAAUCAUUUGUUUAGUUGUUAAUACAAAAAUGACUAAAUCAAACAUCAGUUUAUAGAAAUCUAGAUUCCUAUUGCAGUACAAAAAGAGGAUACAAUACCUGAAUCAAUAGCUACAGAUACUGGAUCCUCUCUUGUUUGGUAUUCCCUCACAGCCUUACUGAACUUUCAUCAAACACCUUGUAGGCAUAGAUAAAAAAGAAUUUGCACAUGUAAAUAAAUGAGCUGAAGAGAAAGGGCAGGAGGCAAGGGGAAAAGCCAGGUGUGGCAUCUUCUACUUUUCCAUGGCCGCCUGCACCUCGGGGUCGGCAGCUGCCCUCUGACAGAGAGAGGGAGAGAUGUAGAGGGAUAGAGAGAGGCACUCACCAACGCGCGGAGCUUGGCAGCCAAAACGGAAGGGAAGCCGGCCCCAAUGACCUCCUCCGCCUUCUAUGCUAGUCACCACCAGUCGCUCCCGCGCGAGAUGCAGGAGAGCGCACACGAGGCAGCCGCAGCUCGGCCUCUCCAUCUUCUCCGGUCGCUGCAAACCAUGGUGGAAGGUGGGCGGACGAGCUCCUCUCCAUCUUCUCGACCCGCUGCAGGGAGAGAAGGGAACGGGCAGCUGUAGAUGGAGCAACACCGGUCGCCUCCGGGUGCGGCGGCUCUGGCGAGAUGGGAAGAGUGGAGGGAGGCGGCAGCUGCGCUGGGAGUAGAGAGCGCCGAGCGGGGAAGGAGGGACGCGGGGGACCGCUCCGACCCGGACGCCCUCCAUGGCGUCGCCGCCGAGGCGCGCGGAUGGAGGAGGAGAAGAGGACGCGGCGCGCGGAUGGAGGAGGUGGCGCGGAUGGAGGAGGAGGCGAGGACGCGGCUAGGGUUCAUGGGGAAGACGCAGUCUGCGCGGUCUCGCUCCUGCCCGCGCUGCCUGCCUUUUUGGUCCACUGAAAAGAGUAAAAUGCCCUUGGCCCGUUGAAAAGACUAAAAUGCCCUUGAUGGGAUGCAGAAUUUACAAGCGGUGGCAUAGCGAUUAUAUGGGGCGACGUGGAGGGCGCGGUCGUGACUACGAGUCUAGAAGGGUUUAUAUGUUCAAUCACUUGUUUAUUGCGACAUGGACCACUGAUAUCUGAAAUAUAUGAAAAAGAACAUCAACGCCCAAGAAAAAAUAUGCCCUCGUAAAAGUAAAAGAAUGUACCAGUAAAAGAAAUGCUCCAGUAGAAGUCCUCUGUUACUUUUAGUGUCAGUACCUCCAACUAACAGAAUUACAAUAGACGGUAACCCAAAAAUAUGUCCAUCUCCUGAACUUCUUUGUUGAACUGUGGGACUAACACAAUGUACACUCUCAAGGAAACGAAAACUUCCCAAACUGAAGAGACUGGACCAAAAAAACCGUAAAGACCGAAUGCCCGGGCUUAUCCUCGCGUUCUAUAUAGUAUUUAUGUUUAAUAACCAAUUCAACAUCAUCCAAGUAAAUUGCUAGCAUCCAGGUAAGAAAUUGCUCUGAAGCAAUGAAAAAACUAACCAAUUCAGCAUCAUCAAUGAAAGAAUCUUCAGUGGCAUACUGAUUAUCAUCAGGCACAUCACCCAGAUCUUCUUCGUGACUACUAUGCCUGCCCUAUCAAAGUGCAGUAUGAGGACAUGGGGCAAAGACGUUAUGCACAUGGUGUAUAAUGUUAAAAGUGCAUCUUGAGAUAACAACAUGUGCAUUACCAUGUAAAGGCGCUCGAUUAUCUCAAUAACCAC